CAGGUUUACCUGUGUGACUGCGUACCUUUUGUAUAAUGGGUCAGCGACUUAUAUUCUGUAGCAAGGUUAACCGAAUAGGGGAGCCGGAGGGAAACCGAGUCUUAAUUGGGCGUUAAGUUGCAGGGUAUAGACCCGAAACCCGGUGAUCUAGCCAUGGGCAGGUUGAAGGUUGGGUAACACUAACUGGAGGACCGAACCGACUAAUGUUGAAAAAUUAGCGGAUGACCUGUGGCUGGGGGUGAAAGGCCAAUCAAACCGGGAGAUAGCUGGUUCUCCCCGAAAGCUAUUUAGGUAGCGCCUCGUGAAUUCAUCUCCGGGGGUAGAGCACUGUUUCGGCUAGGGGGCCAUCCCGGCUUACCAACCCGAUGCAAACUGCGAAUACCGGAGAAUGUUAUCACGGGAGACACACGGCGGGUGCUAACGUCCGUCGUGAAGAGGGAAACAACCCAGACCGCCAGCUAAGGUCCCAAAGUCAUGGUUAAGUGGGAAACGAUGUGGGAAGGCCCAGACAGCCAGGAUGUUGGCUUAGAAGCAGCCAUCAUUUAAAGAAAGCGUAAUAGCUCACUGGUCGAGUCGGCCUGCGCGGAAGAUGUAACGGGGCUAAACCAUGCACCGAAGCUGCGGCAGCGACGCUUAUGCGUUGUUGGGUAGGGGAGCGUUCUGUAAGCCUGUGAAGGUGGCCUGUGAGGGUUGCUGGAGGUAUCAGAAGUGCGAAUGCUGACAUAAGUAACGAUAAAGCGGGUGAAAAGCCCGCUCGCCGGAAGACCAAGGGUUCCUGUCCAACGUUAAUCGGGGCAGGGUGAGUCGACCCCUAAGGCGAGGCCGAAAGGCGUAGUCGAUGGGAAACGGGUUAAUAUUCCCGUACUUGGUGUUACUGCGAAGGGGGGACGGAG
This 893-nucleotide ribosomal RNA is filed under the name Salmonella enterica subsp. enterica serovar Dublin. RNAcentral's name for it is "partial 23S ribosomal RNA". It matches the Rfam family "Bacterial large subunit ribosomal RNA", at positions 580 to 1477 of the family's 2925-position model. The record is from RNAcentral. Lineage: Bacteria; Pseudomonadati; Pseudomonadota; Gammaproteobacteria; Enterobacterales; Enterobacteriaceae.